UAAUACAUGCAAGUCGAACGAGUUCUGAUUAUUGAAAGGUGCUUGCAUCUUGAUUUAAUUUUGAACGAGUGGCGGACGGGUGAGUAACACGUGGGUAACCUGCCCUUAAGUGGGGGAUAACAUUUGGAAACAGAUGCUAAUACCGCAUAAAUCCAAGAACCGCAUGGUUCUUGGCUGAAAGAUGGCGUAAGCUAUCGCUUUUGGAUGGACCCGCGGCGUAUUAGCUAGUUGGUGAGGUAACGGCUCACCAAGGCAAUGAUACGUAGCCGAACUGAGAGGUUGAUCGGCCACAUUGGGACUGAGACACGGCCCAAACUCCUACGGGAGGCAGCAGUAGGGAAUCUUCCACAAUGGACGCAAGUCUGAUGGAGCAACGCCGCGUGAGUGAAGAAGGCUUUCGGGUCGUAAAACUCUGUUGUUGGAGAAGAAUGGUCGGCAGAGUAACUGUUGUCGGCGUGACGGUAUCCAACCAGAAAGCCACGGCUAACUACGUGCCAGCAGCCGCGGUAAUACGUAGGUGGCAAGCGUUAUCCGGAUUUAUUGGGCGUAAAGCGAGCGCAGGCGGUUUUUUAAGUCUGAUGUGAAAGCCCUCGGCUUAACCGAGGAAGUGCAUCGGAAACUGGGAAACUUGAGUGCAGAAGAGGACAGUGGAACUCCAUGUGUAGCGGUGAAAUGCGUAGAUAUAUGGAAGAACACCAGUGGCGAAGGCGGCUGUCU
Molecule: ribosomal RNA, 717 nt
Filed under: Lacticaseibacillus rhamnosus
Lineage: Bacteria; Bacillati; Bacillota; Bacilli; Lactobacillales; Lactobacillaceae
Description: bacterial SSU rRNA
Rfam family: Bacterial small subunit ribosomal RNA
Source: RNAcentral